Molecule: ribosomal RNA, 413 nt
Filed under: uncultured bacterium
Lineage: Bacteria
Description: bacterial SSU rRNA
Rfam family: Bacterial small subunit ribosomal RNA
Source: RNAcentral
GUGUCAGCCGCCGCGGUAAAACGUAGGUCCCGAGCGUUGUUCGGAUUCACUGGGUGUAAAGGGCGCGUAGGUGGUUGUCUGUGUCUCAUGUGAAAACUCAGGGCUCAACUCUGAGAUUGCGUGGGAAACCGAGAGGCUAGAGGGCAGGAGAGGAGAGUGGAAUUCCCGGUGUAGCGGUGAAAUGCGUAGAGAUCGGGAGGAACACCAGUGGUGAAGACGGCUCUCUGGACUGUCCCUGACACUGAGGAGCGAAAGCCAGGGGAGCAAACCGGAUUAGAUACCCGGGUAGUCCUAGCCGUAAACGAUGGGUGCUAGGUGUUGGGGGGUAAAGACCCUUCAGUGCCGAAGCCAACGCGAUAAGCAUCCCACCUGGGGAGUACGGCCGCAAGGUUGAAACUCAAAGGAAUUGGCGG